UCAAAGCCCACCAAGGCGACGAUCGAUAGCUGGUCUGAGAGGACGAUCAGCCACACUGGGAUUGAGAACGGCCCAAACACCAACGGGGGGCAGCAGUGAGGAAUUUUCGUCAAUGGGGGCAACCCUGAACGAGCAACGCCGCGUGCAGGAAGAAGGUUUUCGGAUCGUAAACUGCUUUUCUCUGGGACGAGCAAGGACGGUACCAGAGGAAUCAACCCCGGCUAACUACCUGCCAGCUGCCGCGGUAAUACGUAGGGGGCGAGCGUUGUCCGGAUUUAUUGGGCGUAAAGGGUCCGCAGGCGGUUUGGUAAGUUUGACGUGACAGUUCCUGGCUCAACUGGGAAAGUGCGUUGGAAACUGCCAGACUUGAGGGCUUCAGAGGGAUGCGGAAUUCCGGGUGGAGUGGUGAAAUG
Molecule: ribosomal RNA, 413 nt
Filed under: uncultured soil bacterium
Lineage: Bacteria
Description: bacterial SSU rRNA
Rfam family: Bacterial small subunit ribosomal RNA
Source: RNAcentral